RNAcentral lists this long non-coding RNA (852 nucleotides) under Ictidomys tridecemlineatus (thirteen-lined ground squirrel). RNAcentral describes it as "lncRNA (ENSSTOG00000033573.1)". The record is from RNAcentral. Lineage: Eukaryota; Metazoa; Chordata; Mammalia; Rodentia; Sciuridae.
AUUCUCCACCAACAACCCGAGAGGGCCCGUUGCCCACAGAUCCAGCUGGGAAGGACCGACUGGAGGGUGCUGCAGACAAGGGCAGAGGGUGAAGGGGGACGUGGACACGCGGGCACGUGUACGUGCCUGGACUGCCAACACUUCCUGACCAGGCAGCCCAGCCCUGCCCUGCCCAGCUGGCCUGGACACCUCUGGCCCACCCCCCAGGGCUAAGCCGGGGCUCCGGGCUGCAUGUGCAUGUGGGGCUCACCCCCCCUUGUCUCCAGCAGCAGGAUGGACACCCGGGGCUGAGUGUACUCUGUGAAUCCCUGUCUCUGCUUCUUCAAUCGCCCUCUGCCCUUCCUCGAGGUCUCGGGCUGGUCUACGUGGCCCCUUUUCCUUGUUGGCCUCAGUCAGCCCAUCAAUGCCCAGGUCUGCUCGCGCCCCGGGUCGGUCCCCAGCCCCAAGUUCCGGAGGCGCUUCUGCUGUCUCUGGAUUCCACUUCCAGGCCAGUAAAGCUCCUCACAUCCCAAACGCUCCUCUGCCGUGUCACUCCAAAGGCCACAUUUCCAGAGAGGGCUACAGAGAGGGCUCCAGAGCCCAGUGAGGCCAUGGGCCCUGCCACGGGCCUGCGCUUCCCGGUCACCCUCAUCUCCUGGCCACGGUGCGCCCUCACCCACUUCUUUCCCUGGCCUCCCCCUGUGCUGUGGACACACCAGGGCCUCCCGGCCUCCCUGCCCUGGACCUCUGUCUGCCCUGCAGGUAUCUGCCUUCUGUUCUCGGUGACAGUGGGGUUCCCCUCCGCAUUCCUGCCUCCUUUCCCUCCUUGCACUUAAAACAAAAAGAAGAAUCUGAUCACACCCUGCAAAAUCC